UUUUUCUUUCACCGGAGCUUGCUCCACCGAAAGAAAAAGAGUGGCGAACGGGUGAGUAACACGUGGGUAACCUGCCCAUCAGAAGGGGAUAACACUUGGAAACAGGUGCUAAUACCGUAUAACACUAUUUUCCGCAUGGAAGAAAGUUGAAAGGCGCUUUUGCGUCACUGAUGGAUGGACCCGCGGUGCAUUAGCUAGUUGGUGGGGUAACGGCUCACCAAGGCAACGAUGCAUAGCCGACCUGAGAGGGUGAUCAGCCACACUGGGACUGAGACACGGCCCAGACUCCUACGGGAGGCAGCAGUAGGGAAUCUUCGGCAAUGGACGAAAGUCUGACCGAGCAACGCCGCGUGAGUGAAGAAGGUUUUCGGAUCGUAAAACUCUGUUGUUAGAGAAGAACAAGGAUGAGAGUAAAAUGUUCAUCCCUUGACGGUAUCUAACCAGAAAGCCACGGCUAACUACGUGCCAGCAGCCGCGGUAAUACGUAGGUGGCAAGCGUUGUCCGGAUUUAUUGGGCGUAAAGCGAGCGCAGGCGGUUUCUUAAGUCUGAUGUGAAAGCCCCCGGCUCAACCGGGGAGGGUCAUUGGAAACUGGGAGACUUGAGUGCAGAAGAGGAGAGUGGAAUUCCAUGUGUAGCGGUGAAAUGCGUAGAUAUAUGGAGGAACACCAGUGGCGAGGGCGGCUCUCUGGUCUGUAACUGACGCUGAGGCUCGAAAGCGUGGGGAGCGAACAGG
RNAcentral lists this ribosomal RNA (734 nucleotides) under uncultured Bacilli bacterium. Its description in RNAcentral is "bacterial SSU rRNA". It matches the Rfam family "Bacterial small subunit ribosomal RNA", at positions 69 to 776 of the family's 1533-position model. The record is from RNAcentral. Lineage: Bacteria; Bacillati; Bacillota; Bacilli.